This is an unclassified non-coding RNA of Castor canadensis (American beaver), 106 nucleotides long. NCBI's taxonomy places the organism in Eukaryota, Metazoa, Chordata, Mammalia, Rodentia, Castoridae. The record is from Ensembl.
UUCAUUUUAUCCUUCAAUGUUAAAGUAACUGCAAGCAAUUGUUGAAAGAAAAUAAAAGGUAUGGCUCAGACUUUAGUCUGCAGUAACUUAAAGAAAAGGACCCAGA